GGAAAAAACGGAGGGCAAGAAGCUGAAAAGGAAAAAGAUUGGGUGAGGAAUUCGACGGAGUGGAGAACAAGAGGCAAAAGGCUGCUAAAGAGGAAGUGGAAGAGGAAAAGGUUGCUGGAGAGGAAGAGGACAACCAUUAUUAGAAUGACGUUCUCAGUGUAGAAGAGACUCUACUGUCCGAAAACCUAUUCCAUAAAACCUUUAUAGUCGCCGAUCCACACGAGGUUUCUGAGGAGAUCGACAUUGAGAAUCUCACUCUGAGUGAGGAAAUGAAUGAGGAAACUCAGAGGGUUUUACGCGAAAUGGAGCAGGAAGAGGAGGAAAAAGCAGACGGCAAGAAGCUGAAUAAGAAAGAGAGAUUGGGUGAGGAGUUGGAAGGAGUGGAGAACAAGAGGCAAAAGGUUGCUGAAGAUGAAAAGGUUGCUGAAGAGGAAGAGGAAGAGGACAACCAUUAAAGGAAUGACAUUCUUAGUGUACGUAGUAGAGACUCUACUAUCCGAAAACCUAUUCCAUAACACCUCUACAGUCGCCGGUGAAGUUCUUUCAUCCUAAUUUGGUUUCUCUAUUAUACAAUAGUUUGUUAAGUUUAGGAUUUAACAAAAAAAAAAUUUUGUUUUGUUUUAGUAUAUCCACACAAGGUUUAUGAGGAUAUCGACAUUGAAAAUCUCACUCUGAGUGAGAAAAUAAAUGAGGAACUCGGAGGGUUUUCUGUGAGAUAGAGCAGGAAGAGGAGGAAAAAGUGGAGGGCAAGAAGUUGAAAAGGAAAGAGAGAUUGGGUGAGGAGUUCCACUCCAAGAGGCAAAAGGAUGCUGAAGAGGAAGAGGAAGAGUUAAAUGUGAGACAGUUUUCGUGUAUGUUGCAUCUUUGUCAAAUUGUCUAGGGUUAGACAUAGUUAGAUGUGAAUCCUCGAGCAAUAGGAAUAUUAACAAGAAUAUCUUGAGUGGUCUUGUUGUCAUCAUCAUUAAUAGUGAUACCCCUCUAUCUUAUCCAAUGUCGGUGUGAAAGUCUUAGUAAAGGGAUUUGAAUCUCCUUAUACGUACCGGUAGCAAUAAAUGUCAUCCAAAAGAGUGUAUCCCUAAACUAGCAGAGAAUAUG
Molecule: long non-coding RNA, 1095 nt
Organism: Rosa chinensis
Lineage: Eukaryota; Viridiplantae; Streptophyta; Magnoliopsida; Rosales; Rosaceae
Exons: 4
Source: RefSeq, a predicted model, not a curated record